Molecule: ribosomal RNA, 460 nt
Filed under: uncultured bacterium
Lineage: Bacteria
Description: partial 16S ribosomal RNA
Rfam family: Bacterial small subunit ribosomal RNA
Source: RNAcentral
CCUACGGGUGGCUGCAGUGAGGAAUAUUGGUCAAUGGGCGCAAGCCUGAACCAGCCAAGUAGCGUGAAGGAUGACUGCCCUACGUGUUGUAAACUUCUUUUAUAAAGGAAUAAAGUGAGGCACGUGUGCCUGUUUGUAUGUACUUUAUGGAUCAAGAUCGGCUAACUACGUGCCAGCAGCCGCGGUAAUACGGAGGAUCCGAGCGUUAUCCGGAUUUAUUGGGUUUAAAGGGAGCGUAGAUGGGUUGUUAAGUCAGAUGUGAAAGUUUGCGGCUCAACCGUAAAAUUGCAAUUGAUACUGGCCGUCUUGAGUACAGUUGAGGUAGGCGGAAUUCGUGGUGUAGCGGUGAAAUGCUUAGAUAUCACGAAGAACUCCGAUUGCGAAGGCAGCUUACUAAACUGUCACUGACAUUGAUGCUCGAAAGUGUGGGUAUCAAACAGGAUUAGAUACCCGGGUAGUC